AGAAUCAACGCUGGCGGCGUGCCUAACACAUGCAAGUCGCACGAGAAAGUGGAGCAAUCCAUGAGCAAAGUGGCGCACGGGUGAGUAACACGUGAAUUAUCUACCUCCGAGUGGGGAAUAACUGAGAGAAAUCUUAGCUAAUACCGCAUAACACUUACGAGUCAAAGCAGCAAUGCGCUUGGAGAGGAGUUCGCGGCCGAUUAGUUAGUUGGCGGGGUAAUGGCCCACCAAGACGAUGAUCGGUA
This 245-nucleotide ribosomal RNA is filed under the name uncultured bacterium. RNAcentral describes it as "partial small subunit ribosomal RNA". It matches the Rfam family "Bacterial small subunit ribosomal RNA", at positions 26 to 285 of the family's 1533-position model. The record is from RNAcentral.